AGGGCCCCACACCAGCCCCAGCCAGGCUCCACACCCUCAGCCCCACCCUGGCCAGGGCGCGGCGCCCCACACAGCAGAACACUUCCGGCCACGACUCCACUCAGGGCCCCACACCAGCCCCAGCCAGGCUCCACACCCUCAGCCCCACCCUGGCCAGGCGCGGCGCCCCACACAGCAGAACACUUCCGGCCACGACUCCACUCAGGGCCGCACACCAGCCCCAGCCAGGCUCCACACCCUCAGAGAUGGCAGAAUAAAAGAAAACUGAGUAUUAGACAUCUGGUGAGCUGCAGGAAGGGUUGGGGGCGAGGCUGUGUUAUAUGGCUAAAAGUGUUUGCAAGACACUCCGCCAUGCCACUGGGAUCACUAACUGUUGACCCGUGCCCCAUCAGGACGUCAUUGUCUCCAGUCGUGUGGUCCAGUGAGUCACCGCUCUACCGCACGACAGUGACCCCAAGGAAGUC
Long non-coding RNA from Eriocheir sinensis (Chinese mitten crab), 464 nucleotides. RefSeq lists it as uncharacterized. NCBI's taxonomy places the organism in Eukaryota, Metazoa, Arthropoda, Malacostraca, Decapoda, Varunidae. The record is from RefSeq and is a predicted model, not a curated record. The transcript has 3 exons.